This is a long non-coding RNA of Gallus gallus (chicken), 10083 nucleotides long. The record is from Ensembl. Lineage: Eukaryota; Metazoa; Chordata; Aves; Galliformes; Phasianidae.
CGCUGGGAAGCUGUGGCCUCUCUUUCCUGCUAAAGGCUUGCUGCCUUCACAAAAUCCCAUUGCGGGCGUGAGUGAGGAUGGCAGAACCCUGACCGAACAGCACAGCCCUCCCCCUUGUCCAUCCACCAGGGAGGGGACAGACAAUCCAUGUUUGGCCGGGGGACUCAGCAGUGCCUGGGAAUACAGGAGAGUGGAUGGCAGCGAUGCUCCUGCCAACACCAAUGGCAUUGAGAAUGCAGCGAGAGCAGCACUGGGGUCUUGUGUCUUCUCUCCCCAUCCUCAGACAAAAGUCACACUGGGAUAAUGCCCCAGGGCUUGGUGGAGCAGUUCUGGGAGCAGGAGGGGCUCUCCAGCAAAUGAAGGGGUAAGAAGAAGCUUAGAGACCACAACAGAGACUUCUCAGCUUAGAAAACAAGAAAAGGAGAAAAUAGAUCAGCUUCAAAGCAAAAAGCAGUGGAGAAAUUGCAGGAAAGCUGCCCAAGGCCAGACCUAUCUCCAUGCAGCAGCCAUCAGAGGCUGUGAAUGAGAACAACACUCUCCCCAUUGUAACAGAGAAGCUCGAUGCUCAUGGACAUACAGAAGGCAGGGGACACUUAGCCCUGUGCAGGGACAGAGAGAGAGGUCCCAGCCCACAGGGCUCACCCUGGCCCGGACACCAUUUAGUCACUGCCCCCUGGGGAAAGGACAGAGCCUCAAACCAACCCAUGGCAACAAGCUGCCCCUAUCCAUAAGGCAGCAUCCCUGGGAGUGGGACCACGUGUGCUGCAGCAUGGGGGCUCAGUCCUGCUCCCAGCCCCGCUCAGACUGCGGCACCCACCGGGAUCCCCAGCAGCUACCGGCCGUCAGCCACAUCCCCACGAGGUGCCUGGGGGAAGUUUGGCUGCUAACCAUGUUGCUGAUUGGUAUAGCCAAAUACCUACCUCUAAGGGAAAAGAAAAAAACUGAAAAAGCCUUUCUCCAGCACGGAGACACAAGCAACGACAGGGGAAGCAGGUAAUUAGCUAUGUGAUGGAGCAAUCCGCUCCUGCCGAGGAAAUUCUUGGCACCGGAAUUCUGCCACAUGAGAACAUGUGUGUACCCAAGUGAGGAUCGAUUUAUUUUAUUUUCUUAUUUGCUUCAUUUAUACAUUUUUUAAUGAAGAUCAUUAUAUGUUUUUUAAAUGUCAAAUGCAGGAGAACUGGAAGGGGUGGGGGUGGGGGAACUGUGGGCAUUCUUCACUUCAGAAGCCUGAAUGUUUCAAAGUUGCUGCUGUGCUGUUAGCUGACGGCUAUUGUGUGUGUUUAAGGCUGGGGGGGCGCAAGGAGGGGGCUCUGACCCCCCGUUGGUGUGGAUUUGCUGUCCAAAGACCGUUAGAAAGAGGCAGAAUGAAUGAGAUUGAAUGGAAUUGUAAUGCACAAGGCCCUCCUCCUUUCUCAAGGAGCUGGGAGGCCAGGAAAGCGAGUCGUGGGGAGAGCAGGCAGCUUUCUUACACAUAGGAAGAGGCUUUGCAAAUCAUCAAAUGGUGUACUUCUGGGGGAAGAGGGGAGGGAGGGGAUUUAUUUAUUUUUUUAUUACAGAUCUGAAAAAUAAUACUAAUGAUAAUAAUAAUCCUGCAGCGGCCGAGAAGACCAAAAGGAGAAAAAGAGAGAGAGAAAGAGGGAGAGAGGAGACUUGAUAGAAAAAUCUGAUUCCCAAAACUCUUGUAAGUGUCAUUACUUUCUAAGAAAAUGAAUUGCUUUCUAAGUAAAAGAGAAAUGUGGAGGAAUGCCUGAAAUGGUAGCAGGGAAUGGACUCUGCCUGUCUCUUUCCUACGCAGCGAGAUUUCUGGGGCACAAAGCAGAGGCCUAGAGGCUGCAGAGCAUUUCUCUGAGCUCUGAAGCAGAGCUGGGCCUGGUUUGAAGGAGCUUUCCCUUCCUGACCGCCCGCGGGGGGCUCAGCAGCUUGGGGGCUGUGUUACCUGGGUCCCAUCCCACAGGCAGACAAAGGCCGGGAGCUUCUUUCCUUGUGCAGCAGAAAUAAGGAGGGGAGGAAAUCGGUUUUGGAGAAGGAAGGGUUGCUUUGCGAGAGCGGCGGUGUGCGGGUGAUGGUGUGGGUCAGGACGGGGCUGCGCCGAUGUUUUCAGGGUUUGUUGUGCCGCCGUUGAUGUCGGGUUCGAUCUUGUGUGUUUUUCUAACGUGGUCGUCUCUGCCUGGCGGAGCCGGGGUUUGGAAAUGGAAGGAAAGUGGAGGCAUGUUGCUCGUCUCUGGGAUCUCUUUGUUCAGGGAACAGUAGGUGGUGGGUUUAAAAAGGCAGAGAGGGAAAGAGGGGGAGAAGAAGAAAGAAAUGAAAAAGGAAAAAAAAAAAAAAAAAAAAAAAGGUUCUUUGCAAAUCAUCUGACUAUUUUCUUCCGGGAUGAAGAAAUGCUGCAUUAGAGAUUAAGGCAGGGCCAUGCUUAAAACAAAAUGUCUCACUGGAAGUGCUAAUAAAACAGCAGCAGAGCCCAGCCUGCUUUUACAGCCUGCAAGCCAGGAAGGGGCUACAGGGAUGGGAUUGGGGGGCAGCCAAUGGGGGCAUUUCAUUGUGAACUUCAGAGGCUCUGAGCUACCGGUGCGGUUUGGUUUAGAGGGGAAAUUAAACCCUGCCACCAGCACUGUUGCCCGCUGCCACACGGCACGGCUCAGCCGCCCACACCGGGGCUCGGUGCUCUGUCAGGGGCUCAGCAUCCCACUCCGUGUCCCGUGGUUUGAUGGGGUUGGGCUGGGGAGAAAGCAGCAGCAAAAUCUAUGGGUUCCCCUAGGAGGAUCUGGGGAAGGCGUCCGGGGCAGCACGAGCAAGCAGCGUUUCCCGCAUCCCAGCCCGCACCUCCGCGGCUGCCUUGCUGCAGAAUGAGCAGAGCAGCCCGUGGUAUGGAGCUGGGGGAGAAUCCCUGCGCGCCGGUCCCGUGCCCCGGAGCUGCGGCCCCGCGCCUUCAAUACCAUGGACAGCGAAGCCGAAGCGCGGCGGCACCGAAGCGGCGCCGGGUGGGGACGGAGAGCGGGCCGGGAGCCGGAGGGGGCCGUGCGGACACACCGCAGCGCCUGCCCGGGCUCUGUCCCCGCUGCCACCGGCUCCCAGGAGCUCCGGGGCCGGAGGAGGAGGGGAAAGGCUGCCCAACGUGCCCGGAGUUGGGGAGAAAGCUUCUGGAGCAGAAUGCUUCCCUCCGCCUUCAUUUGGUGAGGUUGUUUUCUUUUAGAUCAAUAACAGAUUGAGAGACGUGGUCUGUCAGAGUAAAUAGGUCAAUAUAGAAUAGGCUGUAAAUAAGCAGAUUUUAAAAUAAAUAAAUAAAUAAAAAUAAACACGUUUCAGAAGACGAAACGCUAGGGGAAAAUUCCCUUUGCUGCAUAACAUCAAACGUUGAUAUCCCCCUCCCCCUCCCCCUACCCCCCUUCCACCCCGUUUGGUGCCUAUGUCAUGCACUGCAGAGUUAUAAACACAAAUAGGGGCCCUUUAAAAUACGUCUCUUGAGCUUGGAAGGUGAUAUUUCACCUCGCUGCAGUGCUCCUGCUUGUCCCUCGUUGGCCAAACAUGGCCCAGCAGCCGCUCAUUCUGUGAAAUGCUAUCUGCAGGCCGACCUCCCCUCGGAGCCCCGUGUGUGGGAGCCGCCAUCCGCCAUGCAAUUGUGCUGAUGGAGCAGCAAAGGGAGCAGAUCGCAGCCCCAGCGGUCGCUGCCCCGCUGUCCUGGACCUGCAGGGGCACGGGGGCCUUCUAAGGCUGCGCCAAGAUGCCUUCCAUCAAAACCAUUGUGUCCUGCCUCCUUACCCCUUCCUGAGAAGGGAAAUACCACUGGGCAUGGAAACACACGCAUGCAAAUAAAUCCUUGCCUGAAAGCUACGCUAGCGAAUGCGCAGUGCGCUGCUGGUCAUAAAGUUGCUUUGGACAGGGAAUAGGGGUGUGUAGAAACCCCCCUGGAUCUGCACCUCCUGUCACAAACAUCAAUGUGAGUACGUGCGUGCGGAUGUCCACAGCUUGGGGGUGCAUGUACGGAUGGGGGGUGGAUAACCAGCAGCGAGGAAGCAGUCUGCUUAUGGAAAAACAAAACACAUGAGGCUUCUGAGCAAAGCCUCUCCCAGCUGCCUGAAGCCCACUUGGUGUUCAAUCCAUUUUCUUUCCCCAGGCACGAAAUUUGGCCUCCCUAGGUAAAUAAAUGUGUACCCGUGCCCCUUUUCAUUGUGAUGAGGUCUGGAAGUUUAACCAAGGAGAACUGCAGCAAAACCAUGGCCGAAUGCUUCCCAGCAGUGAGCCCCGGCCGGGCUGCCGUGGGGUUGGGGCAGGGCGAGGGCAGAGCAGCUCUGAGUGCCUUCUGCAUUUCCAAAGGUGGGAGAUUUAGCUCGAAAAAUACCCUGUCUGUUUGUCACCUGGACGUCAAAACCGUUCCCUUUCAGCACAGCAGGUCCUCACGCCUGCAGGUCUGUGCUCAUGUGACACAGGGAAAAAUCUAACGUUAAAACCCCAAAUAUAAAAUUUGUAUUAGAUAUUUAAGGGGAACCUCUUACUUUAUAUACCUCAGGACACAUUGUCUCUGUUCUGAGAGAACGGGGGUGAAAUCCUACACGUUUCUAAAAUAAAAAAAAAAGGGGGGGGGGGGGGAAGAGAGAGAAAGAAAGAAAAGAAAAGAAAAAAAAAACCGUUUUAAAAUUACAUUCAUGUCAGCUUUAAAAAAAAAAUUAUCGCUGAUGUCUUUUUGAGCUUGGAAAUGUAACUGUAGGAUGCAGCUCUCCCCUCCCCCUCUGCCCCUCCACCCCUCCCUUCCCAACUGAAAAAAAAAAAAAAAAAAAAAAAAAGAAAGAAAAGAAAAAGCAACAGAAUAUAUAAAGCUGCUCUGAUUAACAGUUUAGGUGCAGAGCCCUAUUUAUAAGGCACACGCUCUGCUAUAACGCCUCGGUCCUGCAGCCCGGAGCGGUGCAUUAUUGAUGCAGCUGCAAGUGCUCAAAGCUUAAACACUAUUUUCCGAGAGCCCCAGCAGCCCGCCUGGGAGGAAGGUGGGGACGGGCUGGCAAUGGAGUCCUGAAUGUUACUCCUCCAGUUUCAAGGACAUCUUGCUGAUGAGGAUUUGGUUAAUGGAGGAGAACUUAUGUCCUAGCGGUGACGUCAUUGGGUCCCAAUGUAAUCCUCUUGUGCUGAACCCAAUCAGCAGAUGUGCUGAGAGCCGGGAUGCGGAGAAGAAGCUCUAAUCCCUUAGACUGGAUGAGAUCAGCUGAAACAGCCAGGACUAGACCCCAAACCCCUCUGCUAGGAAGAUCAAGAGAAAAGGGAUAAAUUGAGAGAGACGCCUCAUAACCCCUUUAAAGAGCUUUGGAGAAGAGAAGAGAAAGAUGGGUGGUGCACCAAGUUCAUCUUGCUUUUAAAGCCUAGCGGGAGCCUGGUUUUCGCUCUGAUGAGGUCCUUCUGCAUUGUUCCAGGGCAGGAGGAGAGAGGAGGAAAAAAAAAUGAGAGAAAAAGGAAAGAAAAAAAAAAAAAGGAGGGAGAGAGAAAGAGAGAGAAAAAAAAAGUCUGAAAUUCAAAGAUAAUGAGAGACUAGGCGCCUUUCUUAUUCAUCUCCAGCUUGCCUACACAAAAACAGCAUCCUGAGCCACGGGAGGGCGUUUGCAUUGGAUCUGAGCGAGGCAGCAGAGUUUGUGCCGCCGGAGCCACAGCGCGCUGCUUCCACUGGAGUGGCCUCACUCUUUUCUUGUGCAGAGGCUCAGAGCGCAGCCCGCUGCGCUGCGGGGUCACAACGCGGGGCCGUGGUACCGUCCCCUUUGCACCCCGACAACGCGCAGAAUUAAAUCACGAGCCCGCUUUUGCUUCUCCGAAAGCCGAAUGGGUGCAGCGACGUGAGGGGCUGCAGCAUCACAGCCGCCCCGGUGCCACCUCCGCCGCCGCGCCGUCACCGCAGCCUCAAGGUGAGACGCGGCCCCUUCCGCAGUUUCCCCGCGGCGGUUCGUAGGUUAGCCUUCAGACCUCAAUAAAUCUCUUUGUAAGACUCGUGUUUUCAGCUUCCUAAAGACACGCCGAGCCCCAAGUCCUGAGCCUCCUGAGCGCUGUACUCACGCAAGGGAAUAUCUCAUUAUUUGGCCGUGUAGCUGGAUUCAGCCGCACACCCUCCGCACCCCCUCCCCUCUUCAUCUCUGCUCCACUUUUAUCAGCAUUGCGUCUGUCCGAGGAAGUGAAUCCAUAGACAGCUCCAUCCUCCAUCCCUGCAGUGGCUGACGUGGGACGCACCACCUUGUCUGCGACAGAGAUGCCGGUAGCAGAGCGUUUUCCUUGUUUAGGAGAGGGGCAAGAACACCCCUACUGCACCUUGCGGGAUUGCUUGGUUUCACGCUCGCCUGUGAAAAGCAGGCGCCUUUAGGGAGGGCUCCUGGGGGAAGAGGGACGAGGAAAGGGAAGAAGCACCGGAGGACACUGCGUGGCGGUGAGGAAGGGAGCUGCCCAGCUCUCGAGGCUGUUCUGCAGCAGACGCGUCGCACGAACGAGCAGUUGGGAACGGGUGUUGCCUGCAGCCCUGGGAAGAGGCAGCAGUGAGGAAGCACGCGAUGCCCAUACGGCUACAUCCAGCGGUGCGGCAAUCCGCUCCUCCUGCGGACCUGAUCCUGAGCGUUGCUCCAGCAAGGCCAGGUAUCGUGUAACUGCAGACACGCUUGGGGCGAGUGGCUGUGAGGCACGGGCAGCCCCAAACUCACCAGGAGGGCUCUUGAGGCACAGAGGUGUGUAAGAGAAGCUGGAUUUUCCCCAUUCCCUUUCCCAGUAGAUCAGCGCAAGCAGCAAGGUGUUGGAGACCUGCUUGCUCUCACGUCCGUCAAGCACUGCAAGGCUGCAGGACACAUUUUUGACCUCAUUUGCCCCCACCAUAAAUCAGGGGCUAAGUGGUGAUGUGCUCACUGCUGGGGUCGGGACAUCUGCACCACCCUGGCCUCUCUGGUGCACACUGGGGGGCAGAUUGCCAGUCAAGGGGCUAUUCUGCUCUUGAAAUGCCUGGUUCUUUGCAAAAUAGGUAUAGAGGGAUAAGGAGCCAAGUUCAGGGAGCCAGGCCCCUCUAAACCAAAAACGGCCUCAGGGACAGAAGGGAGCAAGCCACGAGGCAAUCUGCAGUGCAGCAGGAAAGCUGCUGGCUCCCUCCAGGGGCCACCAAGAAGCCAAGGACAGCUCUGCAAGAUGCAGGUAAUGGGGAGCUGCCAGGGCCAAUCUGCACUGGGCCUGGUUCCCGACACUGGGGUGUGAAGGGGAUCAUGGAUCGAGACCCACUGUGUCAAGACGGUGCCAGCCAGCUCCUGCUCCUGGACCAGAAUCCUGUCCAGGUUUGCAGAGGAGGGAGCGCAUGGACUCUGCAGCACAAGGGACUACUAUGAUGCACAAACACUCCCUCCUCUCCCGAGAUUCCUAUGGUCCCCCUUCCAAGACAAGAGGGAAAUCAAAGAGGUCAGGUGUCUCAGACUAAACCUUCUUUCUCACACACAAAGUGCCCUCGAACGCAAGCACGCACAUUUCUCCAGUGUCCCCAGGCUGCAGCUGGGGCUCUGUAGGAUUGCCCUGAGCGCACUCCCCACUGCAGCGUGGCUACACAGCCGUGAGCCCAGAGUCUGCUGUGCUGCAUUGAGCUUGUCACGAUUGCAUACAUUCUGCAGUCACAAGAGAUGAGAGCACAAGGCAGCGAGUCAGAUCAGCUGCAGCUGGGGGAGGGAGAAGCAGGAAAGGCUGGGGACAAGCAGCCAUGGUCUCGCUUUGCACGUCUCCUUCUCGUAUACCGACCCCUGCUUGUUUAGGUAAGCCAGGACCCAAAUGCCAGAUGACGGCCAAUGUACGUCCAUAAAAAAAUACCCCUCUCUCAUCCACCGUGCUUUGUGCUCAGCAAUGGGAUCCCACGUGCUCAGGGAUGCAGUCCCACCUCUGUGCCAAAGGCAGCCCAUGAGACCUGGCUGCCUGCCAUCCUGCAGUGGCCCCCAGAUGGGGUCUCACUGUGCCCGGGUUCAGCUGGGGGCAGCUCCCCGGGCCAUACACCCUGCAGCCCCAGAGCUGCACUGUCAGCCACAGCCCUGACAUCCUGCCACAGAGCCACCUCCAGCACCGGGCACAUAUUCAGAAGGAGGAUUUAUCCAAGAGCAGAUGCACUCCUGGGCCACUCGUGGCUUUAGUGGAGCCAAGUCCUGUUUUCUGAUGGAAAAACCCCGGGAAAUAGGAACUGCGCUUUGUAACAGAGGGGUUGGGUAAGGCCAUUCUAUGACUAAGUCACCACAAAGGGCAAAUUGCCACUUUAUUUUCUCUGUGGGGUUGCCCCACACUCAGGAGAGCUACACAAUUUCCCUCACAAGGGGAAAGCACAGCAGGAUCCAAGCUGAGGGCAAGGAGGAAGGUUGGCCUUCACCCCCCCCCCCCCCCCAAGCACCCCUUCCUCGCAGUACACAAAGCACCGGUUCCCAUCCCUCAUUCACAGGCCAGCUGGCCAGGGAGCAGCUUUACGUAUGACUGCUUCAUCCUAUACAAAUCCUGCCAUCAGUCAUUAAAGACAGAUUAAAACAAAAAAAAAAAAUACAUGUCUGUGCUCUCGAAUCACCACGUAGCAGAUGGAGCUGUCCUGCAUCCCCCUGCAUGUGCCAGGAGGGCCCCGGGUUUGGGAUAUGCUGAGAAAUACACGGACGGGUUGCAGAUGGGAUAAGGAGAAACAAAUGUGGGCAGAUGAGUGAUAUCAAAGGGUGAACUUAAAAAGAAAGAGGUUAAGGGAAAGAUGUUAACAGUCAAGUGCUUAAGAAGCUGCAGUAAGGGGAGGGGACGAUGUGCCUUCCUAUAGCGAUAUAGGUAGGAACGGGCUGAACCUGAAGCAGAAAUCAUUCGGGUAGUAGGAAAAGAGCUUUGCAGUGGAAAGGAUGCAGAAGCACUGGAGCAGCCUGGGAAGGAGGAGAAAUUCCCAUCUGGGGGAGGUACGGGGGAAGGGCCUGGCAGCACUCCCUGUGCAGUGCUGGUCUCAGCAGUCCUAUGCAGGCAUCCCCAGCACACAAAGUGACUGCUCCACUGGCAUCACGCACCCAUCUGCCCCAGAACUGAAUAUCUCCCUCCUGCCAACCCCCUCCCCUCCCAUCCAUCUUUACCUUCUUUCCCGGAGCCGAAGUGUUUCUGUGUCACCACAGAGACCUGGAAAGGGAUGGCAGAAGGCAGUGCCUGUAAAAGCCCAGGGCUGCUGUCCUGCUUUGAGAACAGGGCAGAGGCAUCCCGACAGCAGCGAUCGAAUUCAAGGUGUCAUUGUCCUUUUCUUCCAGAAAGGUAAGAGCUUUCCAGAAAGACUCACAGCUCCAGGCUGCUGCGCCAGGUGUACAAUAAGAUCAAGCCCACAGAAUCAAUCCAGUUUGGGGUUAUUCCCUCACCCAAUUUGUCCCACGCCAGCUCAAAACCGACCGAUUAAGCUCUAAUACCCCCAGGUGAUGUAUCCCAAAUGCCAUCCCGGAGGGACCGCUGUUUUCUCUGCUCUCCUAAUAGGCCCCUUUCUGUGAGCAGCACACCUUGUUGGGUGCGUUUGCAGAAAUAGGAAAUCAGAGGUAACCCGAUGUGUACAGGAGGGCAUCGGCUGUAAGGCAGGUACACAUAUGGCCGUGUCUUGAAGAUGACAUGCGCAGGGGACCUGCAGAAUCAGAGAAGCAUUCAGAGAAGUUGCUCAAGGAUCCUGCCCUCCAUCUGCCCCUCUCUCCGGAGGGGUUUUGGGGUUGUCAGGAACAUUCACCUCACCUGCAGCACAGCUUUCCCAGCCCGGGCUGUGUGCUCUGAGCCUAAGCUAAGGGGCUCUGUCCAUGGGGACGGCCUCUCCACUGCACAGUCCGUGCUGCAGAGCGGCUCUCCCCAUCACACAAUGGCUGCAGGGCCAUUACAGCACAAGGAUCACCUUCAGGAGGUGUUCUCGUAGCCCUGCAGGUAACUCCACCGGCAGCUGCUUGAGCAGGCAGCACCUUCUUAAAUUCCUAUCGCCCUUCUCACAAAGGAAGAGCCGAGACAAAACCGGUUCCUGCUUAAGCGGAGGAAACAAUAGCGGGACAAAGCCACACUCCGUGCUGCAAAGGCGCGGGUGGCCGCAGGAUGGCACUCCUGCCGCUUGUCCUUGAGGGACGGGAGAGCUGUGCCGGG